UGUGAGGAUGCGGCCUGGCAUGUUGGAAGUGCUCAGAUUAAUUAGCUUCUCUCGUUACCUUACCAAGGCAAGCCCAGCCUUGAGGGGAGGAAGGUGGUGCUGUGGCUUGUCUGGCACGUCUAGGCCCCGACCCGGAAAGUGCCACGUUCCGGGACCUCAUGCUGUAUCGAGGCUCUUCCCAGCCCCCAGGCUCCUGCUUCCAGCCCCUCCCAGAGCUGAGGGUGGCCGUUGGGCACAGCGGCAGAGGACAGCUCCUGGGCUCCACCUUUUCCCUCACGCUGCCAGCACCAGGUUGGCGGCUUCUCGCUCAGCUGCCUUGGCAAGAGGGCAGGUCCAGGCUGGAGCCAGGUGUUGAGUGGCAGCAACCAGGAGGUGCUCCUGCCAGCCCUUCAUGCACUUUUUCUCACUUCUCCCUUCUUUUUGUAAAUAAUCACGCCUGCUUAGAUGCCUGGUGACUCUCAUCUUGCAGCAGGCCACACUGUUGGCCUCCAAUGAAGCCUUUAAAAAGCAGAUGGAGAGUGCUAGUGAGGCGGCCAAGAAGUACACGGAGAAUGACCAGCUCAAGAAGUGAGCUGCUGUUGACGGAGGCAAGUUGGAUGUCGGGAAUGCUGAGGUGAAGUUGGAGGAAGAGAACAGGAGCCUGAAGGCUGAGCUGCAGAAGCUAAAGGAUGAGCUGGCCAGCACUAAGCAAAAACUAGAGAAAGCUGAAAACCAGGUUCUGGCCAUGCAGAAGCAGUCUGAGGGCCUCACCAAGGAGUACGACCGCUUGCAGUAGGAGCACGCAAAGCUGCAGGCUACAGUAGUUGGUCCCAUGGACAAGAAGAAAGAGUAAGGGCCUCCUUCCUCCCUGGCCUGCAGCUGGCUUCCACCUGGCACGUGCCUGCUGCUUCCUGAGAGCCCAGCCUCUCCCUCCAGUACUUCUGUUUGUGCCCUUCACUUCCCCCAUUCCCUUCCACAGCUCAUAGCUCGUCAUCUUGGCCCUUGUCCACACUCUCCAAGCACAUUACAGGGUACCUGAUUGCUACACGUUCAGAAUGCAUUUGCUGUUAUCCUGCUUGGCCUGGCCAGGCCUGGCACAGCCCUGGCUUCCACGCCUGAGCGUGGAGGACACGAGUUAGUUGUAGUUUGGCUUGCGGUGGGGCUGACUUCCUGUUGGUUUGAGCCCUUUUUUGUUUUGCCCUCUGGGUGUUUUCUUUGGUCCCGCAGGAGGGUGGGUGGAGCAGGUGGACUGGAGUUUCUCUUGAGGGCAAUAAAAGUUGUCAUGGUGUGUAUGUGGUGCGGUGUGUGACUGUGGCCAUGGAGAGGGCUCUGCUUUCUUUCCUGCCUGGAGCCCCCAAGGGGCCACAGGCCUUCAACCUGUUUCCACCACUGAAGGCCAGGCUCACACCUGUUCUCAAAGGCCCUGCCCUCUCUGUCCUCUUGCUCCCCGGGCUGGGCCAGGCCUCGCUUCAGGGCCACCCACUGAGUGUGUGUCCUGUCUGCCUCCCUGGGUGUGGGCAGCUUGGGAGGCUCAGUAAACCGGCAGGGCUUCUGGGUAGAGGACUCGCUUGCCUUCUCUGGGUUCCCGUUCGUCACAUUUGGGACAGACAGAACGUGGCAGAAUGCCACUAGUCACUCCCUGCCCCACCCCCUCCUGAAGGUUUGCAGGAUGACCUCUGACUAAUGCCAGCUGGGAGAGGAGACUUGUCCUUGGCAGUGACCUGGAGCUGGCCCAGGGCAGAGCUAGGCAGAAAGGGGCUGGGGCCCUUGGCCCUGAGAACGUGCUGGGUGUGUGCCUGCCACCAGAGCGCUGUGCUGGUGCUGGCUCCAGGGCGUCCCUCCCGUGGCUCCCUCAAAGCUGUGUCUUCCAGGCCCACAGCAAGCCAGGCCAGAACCGAGGCUUCCUGCCUGGCGCCAGUGCCCAGGCCCCUGCACUGUGCUGCUCUCCAGUAGCAC
RNAcentral lists this long non-coding RNA (1935 nucleotides) under Homo sapiens (human). RNAcentral describes it as "HSALNT0230065". Lineage: Eukaryota; Metazoa; Chordata; Mammalia; Primates; Hominidae. The record is from RNAcentral.